Non-coding RNA from Stygiomarasmius scandens, 91 nucleotides. NCBI's taxonomy places the organism in Eukaryota, Fungi, Basidiomycota, Agaricomycetes, Agaricales, Campanellaceae. The record is from the annotation of a GenBank genome assembly.
AGCAGCAUGGCGCAGUGGUAGCGCGCGGGGCCCAUAUUCCCAUCUUCUAGGCUGUACCCCGAGGUCACUUGAUCGAAACAAGUUGCUGCUA